Molecule: ribosomal RNA, 253 nt
Filed under: uncultured bacterium
Lineage: Bacteria
Description: partial 16S ribosomal RNA
Rfam family: Bacterial small subunit ribosomal RNA
Source: RNAcentral
UACGAAGGGGGCAAGCGUUGUUCGGAAUUACUGGGCGUAAAGGGCGCGUAGGCGGCUCUAGAAGUCAGGCGUGAAAGCCCCGGGCUUAACCUGGGAACUGCGCUUGAUACUCCAGGGCUUGAGUUCGGGAGAGGAGAGUGGAAUUCCCAGUGUAGAGGUGAAAUUCGUAGAUAUUGGGAAGAACACCAGUGGCGAAGGCGGCUCUCUGGACCGAUACUGACGCUGAGGCGCGAAAGCGUGGGGAGCAAACAGG